Molecule: long non-coding RNA, 1297 nt
Organism: Oncorhynchus nerka (sockeye salmon)
Lineage: Eukaryota; Metazoa; Chordata; Actinopteri; Salmoniformes; Salmonidae
Exons: 2
Source: RefSeq, a predicted model, not a curated record
GGAGACCCAGUUCGAACCCAGUAGGUCACAAGAGCAGGAUUACAUUGGCAGAGGAAAGGCUAUGCUUAGAAGGGCUAAACUGUCAGGAAUAUUCAACAGUAUUCUUACGUGGGACAAAUUGUUUUUAUUUUGUGUUACUCCCUUCCAAUGCGGCAUGCGAUCAUCAUAGAGGGAACAGAUAUUUCAGAGACUCUUAGCUUCCAGGAAUGGGAUCAUCAUAGUUUAUAGCCAAAAUGGUUCAAAUACUAGAAAAUAAAUUCAACAUUUCACAAGAAGCUUCUGUUUACCACAGCAACCGAAACAAAGCCACCAGGAGCUCCUCCACUGUAGAGGAAUUCAGAGUCUGAUGCUCAGAACACAGCAGCCCAGCUGACCUCACCGUCCGUCCCCUACGCAGAGAGAACAUUCAUUACCAGCAUUGUCUCCUCCACUACAGCGCUGUGACCUCACUUACAGUAUGGCUUCAGCCUGACUCAUAGACACAUGCCGCAUCAGCCACACAGCUAAACACUAGCAAGCAGUAGAGAAGAUAAACAGACCAAUGCACAUUGAGGGUAACAGCUCUCUCUUUCACUUGUUCCCGCUCCCUCCUUUCCUGGCGGUCUCCUGCAGCAGUCAAAUGCAAACAGCAUGCAAUCUACCUUAUGAGAGCUCCUCCUCGAUGGCUUACUGACCUAAACACACAACCAACAGCAGAAUGGUGGAUGUCUACAUAAACACACCAAAAGUUCCUACCAAAUCACCAGCAGCCAGACAGAGCAAUCCCUGCAUAGCACACACAAGAACACGGACGCACUCUCGCUCUCUGCUGCGCUGCUCUCUCCUCCUCCUCCUCUCAGCUCUGCGUGGUGACAGAAAAGCCAGAGCAGCCGCCACGCAAAAACAUCUGCAGCACACACACACAAGAAUGGAGUGGGCGGGGAGACAGAGCCUGUCUGUGAGUGGGGAGGUGUUUCACAGCCAAGAGCAGCAAUCUCCCGAGCCCCUCCUCUCAUGUUUUUCUUUCUCCCUCUAUUUCCCGCAUCUGUCUUUCCCCUAAAGGACAGACUGUUGGGACUCCAGACAAAACUCACCAUCAUCUGGCCCUUUCUUCAUGUCUCUCUCUUGGUUCGUUCCACUUCAAAAAGCACAAGAGGAUUUCAACACUCACCAACAAAUAAGAUUAGCAUUCCUGAAACAUUGUUUUAUUAAAAUAUAAUUUGAUCUCUGAGAAAUUAAGCUAAUUGAUUACAUUUAUAUGGCCAAUUUGGGUGCAUAGGAUAAAUAUAAUAUUCAAUAAAUAUAGUACCUAAACAUC